CCCCAUUUCGGGGAAUGCUGAGGUCCCCGGAAGUAAUAGCGAUGGCACCGGGAGGCAGCGGUAGACCUGCAUCACAAAGCUGAACAUACCCGGGAGCCAAUCAGUGGGCAGCUUCUCUCCAAAUCCCUCACAACCAGGCAGCUGGCUCAGCAUGUCAGGCAAAUUCCAAAAAACCUCCCAGCUCAGAAAAAACACUCUUGAGACUCAGGUGCCAUAGCCUGCAGAAGCCAAAUCUCACCGACCCAGACUGGCAAAGCCCAUGCAGGUUUGCACUUGGACGUGAACUUGGACAAGGAAAUGGUUCACCCUUCUCAAGGUUUGUCUUCCCUCUCCCAACCCUCCAAAGACAAUGAGGAUUCUCUAGAAAGUCUGUUUUUCUUCAUCGUUGUGUGCCAUGAGCAUUAUAAUGUCCACCAUUCACCGUAGGCUUGGAUAUUUCACUGAAACACUUGACUUAUCAUGAAAUAAAUGCCUACAGGCUGUGGAGUGUGGCA
RNAcentral lists this long non-coding RNA (494 nucleotides) under Monodelphis domestica (gray short-tailed opossum). RNAcentral's name for it is "lncRNA (ENSMODG00000034842.2)". Lineage: Eukaryota; Metazoa; Chordata; Mammalia; Didelphimorphia; Didelphidae. The record is from RNAcentral.